GCAGUAGGGUGCCAUCAA
This 18-nucleotide ribosomal RNA is filed under the name Enterocytozoon bieneusi. RNAcentral describes it as "partial large subunit ribosomal RNA". Lineage: Eukaryota; Fungi; Microsporidia; Enterocytozoonidae. The record is from RNAcentral.